AUUGAACGCUGGCGGCAUGCCUUACACAUGCAAGUCGAACGGCAGCACGGGAGCAAUCCUGGUGGCGAGUGGCGAACGGGUGAGUAAUAUAUCGGAACGUGCCCAGUCGUGGGGAUAACGCAGCGAAAGCUGUGCUAAUACCGCAUACGAUCUCUGGAUGAAAGCGGGGACUCGCAAGAGCCUCGCGCGAUUGGAGCGGCCGAUAUCAGAUUAGCUAGUUGGUGGGGUAAAAGCCCACCAAGGCGACGAUCUGUAGCUGGUCUGAGAGGACGACCAGCCACACUGGAACUGAGACACGGUCCAGACUCCUACGGGAGGCAGCAGUGGGGAAUUUUGGACAAUGGGCGGCCAAGACCUGAUCCAGCGAAUGCCGCGUGCAGGAUGAAGGCCCUCGGUU
This 397-nucleotide ribosomal RNA is filed under the name uncultured bacterium. RNAcentral describes it as "bacterial SSU rRNA". It matches the Rfam family "Bacterial small subunit ribosomal RNA", at positions 30 to 423 of the family's 1533-position model. The record is from RNAcentral.